Molecule: ribosomal RNA, 497 nt
Filed under: uncultured bacterium
Lineage: Bacteria
Description: partial 16S ribosomal RNA
Rfam family: Bacterial small subunit ribosomal RNA
Source: RNAcentral
GAUGAACGCUGGCGGCGUGCCUAAUACAUGCAAGUCGAGCGAACGGACGAGAAGCUUGCUUCUCUGAUGUUAGCGGCGGACGGGUGAGUAACACGUGGAUAACCUACCUAUAAGACUGGGAUAACUUCGGGAAACCGUAGCUAAUACCGGAUAAUAUUUUGAACCGCAUGGUUCAAAAGUGAAAGACGGUCUUGCUGUCACUUAUAGAUGGAUCCGCGCUGCAUUAGCUAGUUGGUAAGGUAACGGCUUACCAAGGCAACGAUGCAUAGCCGACCUGAGAGGGUGAUCGGCCACACUAGAACUGAGACACGGUCCAGACUCCUACGGGAGGCAGCAGUAGGGAAUCUUCCGCAAUGGGCGAAAGCCUGACGGAGCAACGCCGCGUGAGUGAUGAAGGUCUUCGGAUCGUAAAACUCUGUUAUUAGGGAAGAACAUAUGUGUAAGUAACUGUGCACAUCUUGACGGUACCUAACCAGAAAGCCACGGCUAACUACGUG